This 516-nucleotide ribosomal RNA is filed under the name uncultured bacterium. RNAcentral's name for it is "partial 16S ribosomal RNA". It matches the Rfam family "Bacterial small subunit ribosomal RNA", at positions 28 to 523 of the family's 1533-position model. The record is from RNAcentral.
GACGAACGCUGGCGGCGUGCCUAAUACAUGCAAGUCGAGCGGACGUUUUUGAAGCUUGCUUCAAAAACGUUAGCGGCGGACGGGUGAGUAACACGUGGGCAACCUACCUUAUCGACUGGGAUAACUCCGGGAAACCGGGGCUAAUACCGGAUAAUAUCUAGCACCUCCUGGUGCCGGUUUAAAAGAGGGCUUCUUGCUCUCACGAAGAGAUGGGCCCGCGGCGCAUUAGCUAGUUGGAGAGGUAACAGCUCCCCAAGGCAACGAUGCGUAGCCGACCUGAGAGGGUGAUCGGCCACACUGGGACUGAGACACGGCCCAGACUCCUACGGGAGGCAGCAGUAGGGAAUCUUCCGCAAUGGACGAAAGUCUGACGGAGCAACGCCGCGUGAGUGAUGAAGGGUUUCGGCUCGUAAAGCUCUGUUAUGAGGGAAGAACACGUACCGUUCGAAUAGGGCGGUACCUUGACGGUACCUCAUCAGAAAGCCACGGCUAACUACGUGCCAGCAGCCGCAGUAA